This 73-nucleotide transfer RNA is filed under the name Stegodyphus mimosarum. It matches the Rfam family "tRNA". Rfam says of the family: Transfer RNA (tRNA) molecules are approximately 80 nucleotides in length. Their secondary structure includes four short double-helical elements and three loops (D, anti-codon, and T loops). Lineage: Eukaryota; Metazoa; Arthropoda; Arachnida; Araneae; Eresidae. The record is from Rfam by way of RNAcentral.
GCCUUCUUGGUGUAAUGGUUAGCACACUCGACGCGCAUUCUAGAGUUCCGAGGUUCUAGUCCCGGCGAGGGCA